AACGAACGCUGGCGGCAUGCCUAACACAUGCAAGUCGAACGAGACCUUCGGGUCUAGUGGCGCACGGGUGCGUAACGCGUGGGAACCUGCCCUUAGGUUCGGAAUAACUCCCCGAAAGGGGUGCUAAUACCGGAUAAUGUCUUCGGACCAAAGGUUUAUCGCCUUUGGAUGGGCCCGCGUUGGAUUAGCUAGUUGGUAGGGUAAAAGCCUACCAAGGCGACGAUCCAUAGCUGGUCUGAGAGGAUGGUCAGCCACACUGGGACUGAGACACGGCCCAGACUCCUACGGGAGGCAGGAGUGGGGAAUAUUGGACAAUGGGCGAAGGCCUGAUGCAGCAAUGCCGCGUGAGUGAUGAAGGCCUUAGGGUUGUAAAGCUCUUUUACCCGGGAUGAUAAUGACAGUACCGGGAGAAUAAGCUCCGGCUAACUCCGUG
RNAcentral lists this ribosomal RNA (433 nucleotides) under uncultured bacterium. RNAcentral describes it as "partial 16S ribosomal RNA". It matches the Rfam family "Bacterial small subunit ribosomal RNA", at positions 29 to 507 of the family's 1533-position model. The record is from RNAcentral.